GAUGAAUAAGCCUUGUGUAUGGGCUGGAUUAGUUGAGUUGUUUUAAGUAUUUUGGAUUGUUAUAUUUUAGUUUGAGUUAAUUAAGCCCAUAUAGUUAAGUAUAACUCAUUUUGGGCUUAAGUCUUGUCUUAUUCUUAUUACAAAAAUGAUAAGCCCAUAACUAUAUGGUGCCACAAAUAAUUAGUGGUGUUGGUUAAGAAGAU
This 203-nucleotide long non-coding RNA is filed under the name Carica papaya (papaya). Its description in RNAcentral is "long non-coding RNA (CPAP_LNC016557)". The record is from RNAcentral. Lineage: Eukaryota; Viridiplantae; Streptophyta; Magnoliopsida; Brassicales; Caricaceae.